Molecule: ribosomal RNA, 310 nt
Filed under: uncultured eukaryote
Lineage: Eukaryota
Description: partial 18S ribosomal RNA
Rfam family: Eukaryotic small subunit ribosomal RNA
Source: RNAcentral
CCCUUAGAUGUUCUGCGCGCUACAAUGGUCUUCGCAAACGGAUGCAUUCUCGAAGGAGAAUGCCAAUCUUGGAAUCUAUGCCUUGGUCGGGACAGUUGCUUGCAAUUUUUCGACUCGAACCUGGAAUUCCUUGUAAUCGUGAUUCAUCACAUCACGAUGAAUACGUCCCUGCCCUUUGUACACACCGCCCGUCGCUCCUACCGAUCGAAGAGUUAGGUGAAUUGUUUUGAUCGAUAAGAUUUGACUAUGGUCAACUCUCGUUGUGAAAUUCUGUGAAUCUGACUGUUUAGAGGAAGGAAAAGUCGUAACA